UGCAGUUUGUUGCUGCUUGCGAGACGAAUGUGAAGAUUUUGCCAACCCAAACAGCUCAAUUUAUAGGAACUGUAUAUGCUUUCCAACUCUUAUUCAGAACUUCUUGCAUGUGUAUGCAUCACUUUUCCAUAGAGGAGAAAGACAUGUCAUUCCUUCAUCGGAUCAAGGUGCAGCAUCUUUGAGUUCUACAGCCACUCUUGAUGACUCACUAUCUGACAUGUACCGUUCUCCUCCGAGACCACUGCCAUAUGAUGCUGAUCCAAGAUAUUUCCGCUUGCAACAAGAUGGACAAGUCUCAAGAAGGGAGAAAGGCUCGAGCCACUCACAAGAGGAAACUGAACCACUACAAAGAAGUUUUAAUGACCCUG
Molecule: unclassified non-coding RNA, 368 nt
Filed under: Hevea brasiliensis (rubber tree)
Lineage: Eukaryota; Viridiplantae; Streptophyta; Magnoliopsida; Malpighiales; Euphorbiaceae
Source: RNAcentral